GGCUCCAUGGUGCAGCAGUAGCAUGUCUGACUCCAGAUCAGAAGGUUGUAUGGUCAAAUUGCACUGGGGUCA
RNAcentral lists this transfer RNA (72 nucleotides) under Alligator sinensis (Chinese alligator). It matches the Rfam family "tRNA". From Rfam's summary of the family: Transfer RNA (tRNA) molecules are approximately 80 nucleotides in length. Their secondary structure includes four short double-helical elements and three loops (D, anti-codon, and T loops). Lineage: Eukaryota; Metazoa; Chordata; Crocodylia; Alligatoridae. The record is from Rfam by way of RNAcentral.